CGCGCUGGGCGUGUCCUAGUGAGCCAUGCUGCUAGUGAAUUUUUUGGAGGUUGGUACGUCGGUUUUGGCCAUCGACGCCAUGUCUAAAUGGUUUUAGGCACUACGGAAGCGCCUAUACGCCAGCAAUACGAAAUAGGCUAAUACGCGAUCUUCUGCUACGGAAAGAGAAAGGCCUUGCCCUUUCUGCGCAUCAGCGCAGCCCGAGCAUGAAAAGUCGAACUGUCGAACGCUAGAAUUUUGUUAACGGUCUUAAAAUGACGAAUAAUGAAAGGAAAGAGAUCACCAUUAUCAAUACAAGCACAAAUGAAAAAAAUUCUUAAAGAUUAGUAAUACUUUUAUAAAAAAAAGUAUGCUAAAAGAUUAUUUUUGAAGAGAAGGUACUUUAGAGUAUAAGCAUGAUUCCGAAAAAAUGUACUUAUUAGAAACCAAUGAAGAAUCCAUAAUUUUGGAGCCAGGAGUUACAACUUAUUAUUUUACUCCUUUACAAGAUCACCAAGUCCCAAAAUUAUGUGAAAAACGACAAAUUCGUUUUAAAGAGCUUAUUGAUAAAGUGCAUUUUUCGAAAAAAGUAGACUCUAAAGUUUCGAAGAAAAUGUCAUCUAAUAAUUAAAAAGUCUCAAACAGAUCUGAAGAUGAAUUUAAAGUUAAAUCAGAUGAUAAAGAAAUAAUAAAUCGUAUGAUACAUGUAGGAUGGAAGCACAGAAUUGAAUAUAACAAGAAGUUCGAAAAUAUGGGUGUUAUAGGAAAAACGAAGAAAAUUUCUUUAAACUAUUGUGCAAAAUAUUCUUACAAAGAAAUCAAGCAUGAAUUGAUCCAAUAUUAUAUUGACAAUAACAAAUUCCACUUUCAGCGAGCAGUUACAUGUUUGGGAAGAGCUGAUGGUAGUCUUAUUUUAGAUUUUGUAGAUGAUGAUGGUAAUCGCUUCUGUAAUCAGAAGAUGCUAUCAGGGUAGUCAAAAGUAUAAAAGUAAUGAUUUAUACUUUUCCAAAGAAGAAAUCGAAACAUUUAUUCUUCCUAGCGCGUUUUUGUUCUUUAGACUUUAGAGUGUAUACUUAGAACUGAUGAUGGCAAUGACUAAGUCAAAAAAUGACUAGGAUAUAUAAGAAUUUAUUUAUUUUUUUGAUUAUUUUUGAUUGUAAUAUUUGUAGACAUUAGCGAUAACUAGACCAGUUAAUCGUGUUUAUUUAUAUAAUAUUUUAAAGAUUGAUUAUAAUAUACAUUUUUAUAUUUAUUGUAUUACAGAGUAUAAUAUAGUAAUUAAAAUAUAAUUUAUUAUGCGAAAAAUUAAAUUAAUUUAAAAAGAUUUUCGAGUAUACUAUGUUUUUUGUAUAUAUUUUUGUAUUAUGGUGUUCGGUUUUCUUCGUUUUAUCUUUUAAUAAAUCCUCAUCUUGCUAGCAAAUAGACUACUUACUGAAAAAUAACUUUGAGUUAUUUCUCGAUGUUUCUUGACAAAAAACAUAUAAUUGACCAUGACUCAAUACUGUAGUGCGCAAAUAUAUUCGAAACUGAAUCUCAUCUAACGAUGGUCUUAGAUCAAGUCGUGACAAUAAGACGAUUUUACUAAAAUAUUUACCAGUAAUGAUUUGUCCAACUAAUAUAUGUUUUUUUAUAUCCUUUAUAAUCAUUCUUGUUCCAUUACAAAGGCCGCCAUCGAUAUCCAAAUUUCUUACACAACUAACUAUCGUACCUCUUUUUAAUAUUAAUUUAUGUGGUGGUAAUCCAUUUGGUGUCAAUGAAUUUAGAAAUUCUGUUGGUAUUGAAUCUACCAAAUUGUCAUCAUUUUCACUUUCAAUUCUAUCAUUACUAUAAAAUACAAAACUCUUACCAUCAAUUUUUUCAACUAUAUUUCCAUUAAUUUUUUAUAUAUAAGCAUUUAAUGGUGAUAAAAUCACUUUAUUUCUCAACGAUAAAUCAUUUGAAUUAAUUCUAUGUCCAAAAAUUUCUAUUGCAUUUUUAUUUUCUCCUACAUCAAGAACCCAGUUUUCAAAAUCAUGAUCUUUAUUCUGUAAUCUCAAAUUUUAAUUCAUGAUAAUUUCAUGAAAGAUAACCAUAAUUUAUUUUUUUUUAUACAUUACUCCAUCAUUUUUGUACGAUUGCCAUGGCGUACUAUAGGAAGUGUUUGUCUAAAAUCACCAGACGGAACGAUAAUUUUCCCUCCAAAAGGGUCGUAAGUAAUACACAAAUCUUGUAAAAAUGUAUUUAUUGCUUCAUAAGCAUAUCUAGAUACCAUAUUUCAUUCCCAUAUUAUAAUUCUAAUAUUUUUUAAAAACAUUUCAUUUUUUGAAUUAGCUAUAUCAAUUUUUCACAAAUCACACCAGUAAAUAAACGAUAGCUUUAAUUCAUAUCUUGUUAUGUAUUUCAAGUUUAUAAAAACAGAA
RNAcentral lists this long non-coding RNA (2378 nucleotides) under Nasonia vitripennis (jewel wasp). Its description in RNAcentral is "uncharacterized LOC107981565". The record is from RNAcentral. Lineage: Eukaryota; Metazoa; Arthropoda; Insecta; Hymenoptera; Pteromalidae.